RNAcentral lists this ribosomal RNA (549 nucleotides) under uncultured Glomeromycotina. Its description in RNAcentral is "SSU rRNA". It matches the Rfam family "Eukaryotic small subunit ribosomal RNA", at positions 548 to 1098 of the family's 1831-position model. The record is from RNAcentral. Lineage: Eukaryota; Fungi; Glomeromycota.
UUGGAGGGCAAGUCUGGUGCCAGCAGCCGCGGUAAUUCCAGCUCCAAUAGCGUAUAUUAAAGUUGUUGCAGUUAAAAAGCUCGUAGUUGAAUUUCGGGGUUAGUAGGUUGGUCAUGCCUCUGGUAUGUACUGGUCUCACUGAUUCCUCCUUCCUGAUGAGCCGUAAUGCCAUUUAUUUGGUGUUUUGGGGAAUUUGGACUGUUACUUUGAAAAAAUUAGAGUGUUUAAAGCAAGCUAACGCUUGAAUACAUUAGCAUGGAAUAAUGAAAUAGGACGUUCGAUCCUAUUUUGUUGGUUUCUAGGAUUGACGUAAUGAUUAAUAGGGAUAGUUGGGGGCAUUAGUAUUCAAUUGUCAGAGGUGAAAUUCUUGGAUUUAUUGAAGACUAACUACUGCGAAAGCAUUUGCCAAGGAUGUUUUCAUUAAUCAAGAACGAAAGUUAGGGGAUCGAAGACGAUCAGAUACCGUCGUAGUCUUAACCAUAAACUAUGCCGACUAGGGAUCGGAUGAUGUUAAUUUUUUAAUGACUCAUUCGGCGCCUUACGGGAAAC